Molecule: long non-coding RNA, 555 nt
Filed under: Erythranthe guttata (spotted monkey flower)
Lineage: Eukaryota; Viridiplantae; Streptophyta; Magnoliopsida; Lamiales; Phrymaceae
Description: long non-coding RNA (EGUT_LNC002157)
Source: RNAcentral
AGGGGUGGAAAUCGGACGGAUCGGAUCGGAUUUAGGGGUUUUGGAAAAAUUCCGAUUUUUUCGGAAGUCUAAAUUGACUUCCGAUUCCGAUUCCGAAAAUUUCGGAAUUUAGAAACUCGUUCCGAUUCCGAAAAAAUCGGAAAUUUUGGAAUUUCGGAAAAAAUCGGAUAUAAUGUAAAUUUUGAAGUUUUUUUCGAAAAUCUGUAAGAAAUUCAAGAAAAAAUUAAGAUGUUAAAAAAUUGAAAGUUGCAAGGCAAACUUGCAGCCCAAAACAGAGAAAAACCGAUGAACAGAAAAUCGUAAACUAUGUUUCAACCAACAAAAGCACAGAAAAAUAUAGAAAAAAAUCAUAAACGAAGAAAUUGGAGAACAAAAUUUAGUUUCUAACGCCAACUUUCAUCUGAAGCCUCCAACUCCAUCAAAGCAUCUUCAAUUUCGAACCAGUGCUGUAAAAAAGUAGAAUUUAUUGUGAGGAAGAGUGAAGAGGCAAAGAAGAUGAAAAUGGGUUGAAAAAAGGUAUUAGGGUAGUUGAGCAAAGCGGCGCUGCAAAAGAGA